RNAcentral lists this ribosomal RNA (520 nucleotides) under uncultured bacterium. Its description in RNAcentral is "bacterial SSU rRNA". It matches the Rfam family "Bacterial small subunit ribosomal RNA", at positions 55 to 572 of the family's 1533-position model. The record is from RNAcentral.
AUGCAAGUCGAGCGGUAACAGAUCCAGCUUGCUGGAUGCUGACGAGCGGCGGACGGGUGAGUAAUGCAUAGGAAUCUGCCCGAUAGUGGGGGAUAACCUGGGGAAACCCAGGCUAAUACCGCAUACGUCCUACGGGAGAAAGGGGGCUCCGGCUCCCGCUAUGGGAUGAGCCUAUGUCGGAUUAGCUAGUUGGUGAGGUAACGGCUCACCAAGGCGACGAUCCGUAGCUGGUCUGAGAGGAUGAUCAGCCACAUCGGGACUGAGACACGGCCCGAACUCCUACGGGAGGCAGCAGUGGGGAAUAUUGGACAAUGGGGGAAACCCUGAUCCAGCCAUGCCGCGUGUGUGAAGAAGGCCCUCGGGUUGUAAAGCACUUUCAGCGAGGAAGAACGCCUAGCGGUUAAUACCCGCUAGGAAAGACAUCACUCGCAGAAGAAGCACCGGCUAACUCCGUGCCAGCAGCCGCGGUAAUACGGAGGGUGCAAGCGUUAAUCGGAAUUACUGGGCGUANAGCGCGCGU